Molecule: ribosomal RNA, 400 nt
Filed under: uncultured bacterium
Lineage: Bacteria
Description: bacterial SSU rRNA
Rfam family: Bacterial small subunit ribosomal RNA
Source: RNAcentral
GGGGAAUAUUGGACAAUGGGCGCAAGCCUGAUCCAGCCAUGCCGCGUGAGUGAUGAAGGCCCUAGGGUUGUAAAGCUCUUUCAACGGUGAAGAUAAUGACGGUAACCGUAGAAGAAGCCCCGGCUAACUUCGUGCCAGCAGCCGCGGUAAUACGAAGGGGGCUAGCGUUGUUCGGAUUUACUGGGCGUAAAGCGCGCGUAGGCGGAUUGGUCAGUUAGGGGUGAAAUCCCAGGGCUCAACCCUGGAACUGCCCUUAAUACUGCCGGUCUUGAGUAUGGUAGAGGUGAGUGGAAUUCCGAGUGUAGAGGUGAAAUUCGUAGAUAUUCGGAGGAACACCAGUGGCGAAGGCGGCUCACUGGACCAUUACUGACGCUGAGGUGCGAAAGCGUGGGGAGCAAAC